GAUGAACGCUGGCGGCGUGCCUAACACAUGCAAGUCGAGCGAAGCACUUACUUUAGAUUUCUUCGGAAUGACGAAGUUUGUGACUGAGCGGCGGACGGGUGAGUAACGCGUGGGCAACCUGCCCUGUACAGGGGGAUAACAGUUAGAAAUGACUGCUAAUACCGCAUAAGCCCACAGCUUCGCAUGAAGCAGUGGGAAAAACUCCGGUGGUACAGGAUGGGCCCGCGUCUGAUUAGCUAGUUGGUAAGGUAACGGCUUACCAAGGCGACGAUCAGUAGCCGACCUGAGAGGGUGACCGGCCACAUUGGGACUGAGACACGGCCCAAACUCCUACGGGAGGCAGCAGUGGGGAAUAUUGCACAAUGGGGGAAACCCUGAUGCAGCGACGCCGCGUGAGCGAUGAAGUAUUUCGGUAUGUAAAGCUCUAUCAGCAGGGAAGAAAGUGACGGUACCUGACUAAGAAGCCCCGGCUAACUACGU
Molecule: ribosomal RNA, 480 nt
Filed under: uncultured bacterium
Lineage: Bacteria
Description: partial 16S ribosomal RNA
Rfam family: Bacterial small subunit ribosomal RNA
Source: RNAcentral